RNAcentral lists this ribosomal RNA (816 nucleotides) under Plectolyngbya sp. UIC 10788. RNAcentral describes it as "bacterial SSU rRNA". It matches the Rfam family "Bacterial small subunit ribosomal RNA", at positions 461 to 1277 of the family's 1533-position model. The record is from RNAcentral. Lineage: Bacteria; Bacillati; Cyanobacteriota; Cyanophyceae; Leptolyngbyales; Leptolyngbyaceae.
AAGAAUCGAUGACGGUACCUGAUGAAUCAGCAUCGGCUAACUCCGUGCCAGCAGCCGCGGUAAUACGGAGGAUGCAAGCGUUAUCCGGAAUUAUUGGGCGUAAAGCGUCCGUAGGUGGUUUAUCAAGUCUGCUGUCAAAGCGUGCGGCUUAACCGCAUAAGGGCAGUGGAAACUGAUGAACUAGAGUGCGAUAGGGGUAACAGGAAUUCCCAGUGUAGCGGUGAAAUGCGUAGAUAUUGGGAAGAACACCAGCGGCGAAAGCGUGUUACUGGGUCUGCACUGACACUGAGGGACGAAAGCUAGGGGAGCGAAAGGGAUUAGAUACCCCUGUAGUCCUAGCCGUAAACGAUGACAACUAGGCGUGGUUCGUAUCGACCCGAGCCGUGCCGUAGCCAACGCGUUAAGUUGUCCGCCUGGGGAGUACGCACGCAAGUGUGAAACUCAAAGGAAUUGACGGGGGCCCGCACAAGCGGUGGAGUAUGUGGUUUAAUUCGAUGCAACGCGAAGAACCUUACCAAGGCUUGACAUCCUCGGAACCCUGAUGAAAGUUAGGGGUGCCUUCGGGAGCCGAGAGACAGGUGGUGCAUGGCUGUCGUCAGCUCGUGUCGUGAGAUGUUGGGUUAAGUCCCGCAACGAGCGCAACCCACGUUUUUAGUUGCCAGCAUUCAGUUGGGCACUCUAGAGAGACUGCCGGUGACAAACCGGAGGAAGGUGUGGAUGACGUCAAGUCAGCAUGCCCCAUACGCCUUGGGCUACACACGUACUACAAUGCGUCGGACAAAGAGCAGCCAGCCAGCGAUGGUGAGCCAAUCUCAU